GCCGGGAUAGCUCAGUUGGUAGAGCAGAGGA
Molecule: transfer RNA, 31 nt
Filed under: Taiwania cryptomerioides
Lineage: Eukaryota; Viridiplantae; Streptophyta; Pinopsida; Cupressales; Cupressaceae
Also listed under: 10 other names
Description: partial tRNA-Phe
Source: RNAcentral